RNAcentral lists this long non-coding RNA (352 nucleotides) under Musa acuminata (dwarf banana). RNAcentral's name for it is "long non-coding RNA (MACU_LNC001303)". The record is from RNAcentral. Lineage: Eukaryota; Viridiplantae; Streptophyta; Magnoliopsida; Zingiberales; Musaceae.
UAUUCCGAGCACGAACACGCCGUGCUCCUCGGCGUACUCGAUGAAGCCGUCCGGGAACGACGGCGCGCCCGCGGCGUGGACGGAGUGGGGACCGCCGGAGAGGAUGACGACGCGGGGCUUCAGCUUGGCGAUGGCGUCGAGGGUGGAGGUGCCGGAGAUACACAGGGAGAGGACGGAGAGCUGCCGGAUUCGACGGGUGAUGAGGUGCGUGUACUGCGAGCCAUAGUCGAGGAUGAGGACGAGGUUGCCUACGCCGCCGGUGGCGACCCCGUUGGCGGUCCUCGAGUUGACGGCGGUUUCCAUCUCUCCGGCAGCGAAGGUUAGCGUUUACGGUGGGCGGCGAGAAAAGGAG